CCUACGGGAGGCUGCAGUAGGGAAUAUUGCUCAAUGGGCGAAACCCUGAAGCAGCAAAGUCGCGUGGAGGAUGAAGGUUCUCGGAUUGUAAACUCCUUUUGUUAGAGAAGAUAAUGACGGUAUCUAACGAAUAAGCACCGGCUAACUCCGUGCCAGCAGCCGCGGUAAUACGGAGGGUGCACGCGUUACUCGGAAUCACUGGGCGUAAAGCGCGCGUAGGCGGGAUAGCAAGUCAGAUGUGAAAUCCUAUGGCUUAACCAUAGAACUGCAUUUGAAACUGUUAUUCUAGAGUAUGGGAGAGGUAGGCGGAAUUCUUGGUGUAGGGGUAAAAUGCGUAGAGAUCAAGAGGAAUACUCAUUGCGAAGGCGACCUGCUAGAACAUAACUGACGCUGAUGCGCGAAAGCGUGGGGAGCAAACAGGAUUAGAUACCCUUGUAGUC
RNAcentral lists this ribosomal RNA (440 nucleotides) under uncultured bacterium. RNAcentral's name for it is "partial 16S ribosomal RNA". It matches the Rfam family "Bacterial small subunit ribosomal RNA", at positions 338 to 795 of the family's 1533-position model. The record is from RNAcentral.